AUUGAACGCUGGCGGAAUGCUUUACACAUGCAAGUCGAACGGCAGCACGGACUUCGGUCUGGUGGCGAGUGGCGAACGGGUGAGUAAUGUAUCGGAACGUGCCCAGUCGUGGGGGAUAACGUAGUGAAAAUUACGCUAAUACCGCAUACGAGCUAUGGAUGAAAGCGGGGGAUCGCAAGACCUCGCGCGAUUGGAGCGGCCGAUAUCAGAUUAGGUAGUUGGUGGGGUAAAGGCCCACCAAGCCAACGAUCUGUAGCUGGUCUGAGAGGACGACCAGCCACACUGGAACUGAGACACGGUCCAGACUCCUACGGGAGGCAGCAGUGGGGAAUUUUGGACAAUGGGCGAAAGCCUGAUCCAGCCAUUCCGCGUGCAGGAUGAAGGCCCUCGGGUCGUAAACUGCUUUUGUACAGAACGAAAAGGUUUCUACUAAUACUAGGAGCUCAUGACGGUACUGUAAGAAUAAGCACCGGCUAACUACGUGCCAGCCGCCGCGGUAA
RNAcentral lists this ribosomal RNA (500 nucleotides) under uncultured bacterium. RNAcentral describes it as "partial 16S ribosomal RNA". It matches the Rfam family "Bacterial small subunit ribosomal RNA", at positions 30 to 523 of the family's 1533-position model. The record is from RNAcentral.